This 223-nucleotide ribosomal RNA is filed under the name uncultured bacterium. Its description in RNAcentral is "partial 16S ribosomal RNA". It matches the Rfam family "Bacterial small subunit ribosomal RNA", at positions 121 to 334 of the family's 1533-position model. The record is from RNAcentral.
ACAACAUGUCCAAGGGUGGGGGGAGUAGCCGGCCCCAACGGCCGGGGUAAUACCGCAUGCAGUCACCUGCGGCAUCAAAGGUGACGAAAGCCGGGGCAACCUGGCGCCCAUGGAGUGGCUUGCGGCCUAUCAGCUAGUUGGUGAGGUAACGGCUCACCAAGGCUACGACGGGUAGCUGGUCUGAGAGGAUGACCAGCCACAUUGGGACUGAGACACGGCCCAG